GACGAACGCUGGCGGCGUGCUUAACACAUGCAAGUCGAACGGAAAGGCCCCUUUGGGGGUACUCGAGUGGCGAACGGGCGAGUAACACGUGAGUAACCUGCCCUUGACUUCGGGAUAACUACAGGAAACUGGGGCUAAUACCGGAUAGGAAUCCUUGCUGCAUGGUGGGGGGUGGAAAGCUUCGGGGGUUUUGGAUGGACUCGCGGCUUAUCAGCUUGUUGGUGGGGUAGUGGCUUACCAAGGAUUUGACGGGUAGCCGGCCUGAGAGGGCGACCGGCCACAUUGGGACUGUGAUACGGCCCCGACUCCUACGGGAGGCAGCAGUGGGGAAUAUUGCACAAUGGUCGGAAGCCUGAUGCAGCAACGCCGCGUGCGUGAUGACGGCCUUCGGGUUGUAAACCGCUUUCAGCAGGGGCGAAGCUUUUGUGACGGUACCUGCAAAAGAAGCACCGGCUAACUACGUG
Molecule: ribosomal RNA, 464 nt
Filed under: uncultured bacterium
Lineage: Bacteria
Description: partial 16S ribosomal RNA
Rfam family: Bacterial small subunit ribosomal RNA
Source: RNAcentral